Molecule: long non-coding RNA, 6750 nt
Organism: Gasterosteus aculeatus aculeatus (three-spined stickleback)
Lineage: Eukaryota; Metazoa; Chordata; Actinopteri; Perciformes; Gasterosteidae
Source: Ensembl
CGGAAACAGUCACAUAACUCUGGCAGGAGGGAAUGAGGUCAAUCCACAACCCUCCAACUUAACGCACAUCGUCUGUUGCAGAGGGGUUAGGAUUUCACUUUUUUAUUGUAUUUUGAAGGCCUAUCGGACGCUCUGUUGAGAUUUGAUUUUUGUGACCGAUACGUGAACAGUAUUGAUGUUUUGAGUGUUCCCAAAGAGAGAGACAUUACAUCACAACAAUUUGUCAGGUCAAUUCUUGCCACAUGUUUCUUUCCUGUAAAGGUCCACUUAGAUUACAGAUGGAAGCAAAGGUUGUUCAGUUUACAUUUUAAGGACAUUGCACGGUGAGGGAAGGAGCUUAACAACAACGUGGCAUCAGCAGCGGCUAAGUUGACCUGAGGGGCCAGUCAAGUCCUCCCAUAAUGCAGAGCUCUGUGGCCUCUUGCCUUCUGUCACCCUAUCACCUCGGAACCUGGGAUUUUCUGGAAAAGUGGGGCUUCUGGACUGACUCAUCGGACAGCUGUACCUUAAAGGGCCUCACGGGGGCAUCGCCUCCAGGGUCACUACUCUGGGCUGUGAUUUGACGGCCAGGCACAAAUAAAACCCCCUGAAGCUUGACAACUUCCUCGCUGAGCCCACGUAACCCAAUUAGGGAACCGUCCCACAGUCGGAGAAAAUGAAAACAUUCCGGAGCCAUAUUCCCGGGACGGCCGUGGUCGUUUAUUUAAUCCAUUUCUUUUUUCGCCCUCUUCCAGAGAUUUUUCUUGGACUGAUUUCAAUGAUCCAUCAAGGAGUGACUCAACAACUCAAAUACCAGUGGGCUGCAAAUAUACUAAACUCCUGUCUGCGCUGAAUCCAGAGACAAGUACCUCACAUCGUUACGUUAACCCACGGCUAUCUUUUGAAAGGAUAUCCAGAUACUGAGGUUGCCUCAGCUGGGCGGGUGCUGAAAGCCUAUACGUUACCCAGAGUGCAGUGCAGGAUGCGGGGCGACUGCAGAUGCUGCCGGCUGAAGGCAAAGACAAAUGGACGAAUCAACGCUCCAGCAGAAGGUCCUAUUGAUUGAUAAAGCACCCUGUGGAUUGGGCUGUGAAUUGUUAGCCCCCCAUAGUGUGUUUUUUUUUUUUGUUUUUGUGUGGGAUACCAGACUGCUGCCCCGAAGGCCCUGAACAAUACAGACAAGCAGAGAAAGACAGCAGAAUCAAUGACUGUCUCACUCAGGGCUCUAGUAUGUUCUUACGAAUCAUCUAAAGUGGCUCCCUUGGCGCCUACCUCUGCCUACCUCCACUGAAUACCACAACAAGAUUUGUUAAAGACACCACCGUUCAAGGAGGAACGGCAAGCAUCUUCUGCAGGGAACCAAUCAAUGACUGAAGACAGAUGAAUUCCUCUAAAAAAUAAAGACAAUUUGGCUGUUAGAAAAGCAACUCGGACACAACGAAAGACCACAAAUUGCAUCCAGCGAAAGACGAGGACGAUGAGGAAUGCGUGUGAUGAAGGCUACAUUUGUCUAUUGAGACAAGGCCCAGGACCCAAGUGUCUUCUCUCUCCCUCGUGGGCGACUGACAGAGCCAGAUAGGCCUCUUCACUGCUGACAGCCAAUGUCCUCAUCCAUCCUCAUCCGAGAGACCAACCCCGCCUAGAUUUCCCCCGACGAAACCCCCAACGCAGAAAUCCCUCGCCCCAAGCUCAGCAAAGGGCCCGGAGCUGGGAGUGUCCCCGCGGCGCCUCUGUCAAUAUGUCAUCAUCGUCAUAGCUGCCAGUUGGCAGCAGAGUAACCCACCGCAGUUGUGUCAGCAAAACAGUCUCCAUUUUAUUAGUAUUUCUUUCCACUGAAUAUCCAUCGCGGGACACACACUUCUUCUCAGUAUUCGCAGACAGGGUCAUAACUCAAGCGGCCCGUGAUGUGCUUCCCACUCCUGUGACGGGGAGGUAUUUGUGAUGAUGAACGGACACAGGGGGGGAAGCGUUUGUUUUUUCGCAGGAGGCGGAGGGGGGUGGGGGGGGGUGGGGGGACUCGUCGUCGGGCGGAGCCGCACGCAGCAAGCAGACGUAAGCACUUGUGGUCCGAUGUGGCCGUGCUGACAACACAACUUUGGGCCUCGUUUGGAGAACAAACCGGCAUUUUAAUGGGAUGGUACACCUUGAGUACGAAUGAAGCAUGUGAAUUAUUUAGUUUCAUCUGUGUGUGUGGAGCUAAAUGUGAUGCUUUAGCGAUAGAAGACAAACUUUUAAAUAUUUUCUUUGUAAGAGAAAAGACCAUAAAUGUCCAUAAAAGAGCUGCAUGAGAAAAGCUUCUGCGGCUUCAAACCAGGAUAAACUUAUUUUUCAUGUCACCAUCCAUCCUCCACUGCAAGCUAAGUGUGAUGCGCAAUACUAGUCCACAGCAGCAUCCUCACACAAGAAAUUAACAGUACUUAUUCAUUUAGAGCAGAAAGUGCACUUUAAAUGUAAAGCACUUUGCUUAAAUCCAGGAAAUCAUCGCACUAUUAAAGCAAUUUGGAGAACAGCAUCAUACUUAGAGGAACAUUUCUGGGCUUCAUACAAAUAGGCUUGACAGUCAUUUUACUGCCUUUAGUGAGGGUCCCAGAGAAAGUGACAGGGGGAAAUUGGGGCAAAUAAAGUCAGAGGAAGAGGAAUUUCUCUUCAUGGUAAAAUUGGGAAUGAUGUCAUGAAUUAAUUCUGCGCGUCGAGGAGGAGAUCAUAACAAGUCUACAGAUGAUGCCUGGACAUUCACUAAACUGCAGCGUAAUGCACAGCUAAUAUGGGAUGAGAUUGCUCUGAGAUUUCAUUUUGGGGGCAGCAGCGGUAAUGGCAGAGAUGAUGAUCACGACUGCAUUACAGGCAAUUUGAUUUAAAACGUAUGAGACAUUUUGCGCAACGUCCCAUGAGAUGUAAACACAUAAAAUAUUUCCUCUGGCUUUGAGGCACACAGAUAUUUGCAUUAAAUAUGUUCUAACAUUGAUUUGUAUUGAGUUUAGACCAGCGCUCUGCAUUAUGGGUUGACCGAUUCAGGUUCGUCACGUGUGAGGGGAUGAGUACAUUAACGAUAUUUGUUUCUUUUUUUGUUACAUUGUUUUAAUGGAUAUUGAAGUCUGCAUUAACAAGGUCAGAUACAAAUAACAAACUCUGCUGGCAGUUAUUGGUUGAAAAGAUCCUCCUGCACCACCACCAGCCGUCUGCACUGGAUGAUCUGAAAAAAACAAACUUGCAUAAAUCAAAGCCUCUUUGUUGGAAAAAGAGAUGGACUGUUAUUUGCAUCCUUUUUUUCUUUCAAUUUGUCUGAUAUAAAGUCGAACGUCCUUCCCGCCUCCAUAAAUCCUGAGACACUAACAAAGUGAAGGAGCAUCCAAAUCAGCUCAUUGCAGCGGCAGUCGAUGGCCGCUCUCUCAAGGACGCUGAUUGACGUUUUAUACAGCUUCUGCAGAACUGCCGAUACGAUCAGAGCUGGGGAGCAGAUGCGAGGCUGGGAAACGGUGGCAGUUCACUGGAGUUGAAUUGUACCCCGGAGAGGAGGAAGUGAAGUUUUUCUAUCAGAUGGAAAGAUCAGAGGAGACGGAUAAUUCAGUAAUCACAUCUCCAGCGAUUAGGGGGGACAGGAGGCGGGUUGCCGAUAAGGAACUGUGGGCUUCACGGACGUUCUGUUCGGUUAAUAGGAAACCGAAAAAGACUCAACGCCUUAUUUUCCCAGUGGUAUCUGCUUCUUUUAUCACACCACUUUAUGAUUUCUCACCUUGUCUCAUUGGGUCGUCUGAUCUCAUCUCAUUUACUAAAGGGUCGGUGAACCUGUCAGCGAAUCAAAACCAACUUCUGUGUGUGCUUCAUCUGGGUACGGUUGUAUCUUCUCAUCUCGUCUCAUUCCUGAUGACUUACAUUAGUUUUUUGACCCAUCUCGUCCUCAUAAUCCUGUUUCAUUCAUGCGGUAACAGAUGAAAACAACGCCCAGGCCUAUAAAAAAUGAUCUUUUUGGUCAUGUUUUAUUCUCCAAAGAAAUGUCAACAUCCUGAGUAAGACAGCCUAACCCAAGGGACAAUAGUAGAAAUUGUUUAAAUAUAAAUCCUGGUGCUCCUUCUGUCACGGUUUGGGUUUGUUUCCUUUCUUAUUUUGUAGUUUUCUGCCUCUUGUGUCCCUGGGUAACUUCACUUCCUGCCUUGUCCUGUCAUCCCCUGUGAUUGUCUGAUUGUUUCCACCUGUGUCCAAUCACCUGCACCUGCACCAUGUGUAUUUAAGUCAUGUGUGUCGCUUGUCCCUUGUCGCUCAUUGUUGACUGUUUUGGAUGUUCCUGUCUGCAUUUUUUGCCCCUGGCCCUUUUGGAUUUUGACUAUUAAAGUCUUUUUGUUUUUGAAAGUCUGCGUUUGAGUCCUGCCUUCUCUGUCUGAACAAGACUUUUCAAGGAUUACUCAUAUUUUUCCACCUGAUGAACACUCCAUAUCCUGACAUCAUAUCUGUAAGUCACAAACCGUUGUCAAUGCCACCUGACGAGCAUGACGAGUCCUCUGACUCUCUCUAUCCAAGUGGGUAAAAGCCUGACGUGUAUAUGUGCACACGGACACACAAGCGCACCAUGUCUUGUUGGCCUGUGAGAUCUUAUCACGGACAUUGAAAUGAGAUGAGACAAUGUGAGUAUCUGCUUCCUGUGUUUGUGUGUGGUUGGGAUGCAUGGGUCUCAUGCAGUAUCAUGUUAAAGUUGAGCGUCUGCUGUCUGCAGAGUCGCCGUAGUUUUAAUUUGAUGCUUUUAUUUUGAAGGCUUGUAAAGUAUGUAAAAUCUUGAUAGAUUAAAUUAAGAAGACAUAAUAUUGCAAAUAAUGCAAAUCUUUUAAGAGAAAUUUAAUUUGCAUUAUUUGCAAUAUUAUGUCUUAAUUUAAUUUAAAAUCAAGCAUAACAUGAUAAAACAAAUCUGAUCUCACGUGUUUCAACAGUGUUUACCCGUUACGACAGCAGGGGCUGUAGGGCGGCGAUCUGGGCUGUAACGUCCACCAUGUGUGGUCACACCCACGUGCACUGACUUAUUCUGAAGGGAUACGCGGCUGGCUCUGCUCCAGGUGACAACACAGAGGACGAGGGACUGUAGGUGCGUUUUAUAUUCAAUCAUCGUUUUUCUGCUACAUCAAUGCUCUGAAUUGCGCAGUUUCCAUAUUUAGAGGUGAUUUAUAAAUUUAAUCUACACCAAUUGCUGGGGUACUUGUUGCGCAGCGGAACUUGACCUUUGCAGGGAACCGAUGAGGGAGGUUUCCCCAAAGGGAUGAGUGAAUUCUAAUUUCAUUAGCAUCCCAAACCUCACGGAGUGAAUGAUGCAGUUAGUCAUUGCUCUUCUUUUCCACUGAUGAUGACGUUUUCAAAACAGACCACAGCUGUGUGGAUCUCCCAAGUGAAUCCUACACAACUCUGGGCUUGGACAAGGGCCGAUGAUGAUAACUGGCUUGCAUUAUGUCCUUUACAGUAUUGUCACCAUGGAUACAAGACUUGGGAGUCAAACACAGAAGAGUGGUGGUCACUAAUACUUUUUAAUCAAGUCUCCCUGAAAGCUCAUAUUUAUGAUUACAUCCAUCCAGAAAAAAUAUCACCUCGCCUGUUUUUGGUAAAAUGAUCGGGGGAAACCAUUUAACAAUGUUCCUAGUUCCUAAACAGUGCUCCUAAUUGUACAUCGGCUCGAUGACUUGAAAUCUAGAAGUGUGUCGACACAUAGCGCAAACUCCUUUUUCACUUUGCUUUACCUGCAAGUUGUGCUGCCAUGCAAAUGCCCCUAACAAAUCUGUCCCAUAGGAACUUCCUUUCUGCUUACUACUUUCCUUCAAAGUUGCAAAAACAAAAUAUUACUGAAAGGAAAACCAUUUGGGGAGCUUUUUUCAGCAAAUCAAGUAGCGACUAUUUCAAUGUAUCCUCCAACAGUUUCAAAUGACAUCCUGUAAGAAGCCCGGUAACACUCGUAACUUGCGCGCUUACUUGAAAAAAUUUGUAAAGAUGAAAUGAGUUUUAAAUAUUAUUUAACUCCUCGACAUCUCCUUCGUUUCUCACUUACUGACCAUUUAAAUCGUAUUUUGACAGCAAGUUGUUUGUGUUCAAUAAUAAUGACCUUGAUAAUCUACCAAUCCAUUUGGCAAGAAUAAGCAAAUACAUGUUGGAUUAAUAAACUAUCACCAGUGAACACUGGCCGCCAAAGAUCAAGAGUCACAAACCUUAUUGAACCAACUUUAACUUCACUUUAAAACAUCUUAACCUACUUAAGAUGUUUGCCAGAUAUAUUCCGUAUUAACAUGUAGGCUAUGAAGAAGAAAAACUUAAUCCAGGGCCUCUCCUUGGAUGUCCUCGUCCCUCAUCUCUCUCUCGCGUAUCUUUGGGUGUUUUAAUGUUUCCCUGACUGCUGCUAUAACAUGAAUUUGUCAUUGCGUUCACCGCACCCAUGAAACAACUAAUAGAAAGAAAUGAACUGUGCAAACUCAAGGGGGGGAUUGUGACAGUUGGAGGGGAGGUUGGGGGUGAGCGGGGGAAGCUGUGGUGAAAUUAGCUGGAGCUUCAUGGCCGCUCUCCCGGUGUCGGCAUCGCGCAGGUUUGGACCGCGCUGGCUCGCUAAGUAAGUAUUUGCACGCAAACUGGUGUUAUUUGAUCCACCUCAGUGUCAAGCGCUUCCAUCACUUUAAAAAUUGAAAAGGAGGAGGUUCUCUGGUGGCUCUCAGCUGGCAGUUUGAUUCAGAUUGUAUUAUCCGGGCUUGCUUCUAUAAUAAGCAGGAACUGUCCUGUACGAUUAGGCACGCUCGGCGGCACCAACCCCCC